This 408-nucleotide ribosomal RNA is filed under the name uncultured bacterium. RNAcentral's name for it is "partial 16S ribosomal RNA". It matches the Rfam family "Bacterial small subunit ribosomal RNA", at positions 28 to 526 of the family's 1533-position model. The record is from RNAcentral.
GACGAACGCUGGCGGCGUGCUUAACACAUGCAAGUCGAACGAAGUGGCGAACGGGUGAGUAAUACGUGGGUAACCUGCCCUCCUUUUUGGGAUAAGCCUUGGAAACGGGGUCUAAUACUGAAUAAAGGGGGAUGGGCUCGCGGCCUGUCGUCUUGUUGGUGGGGUAAUGGCCUACCAAGGCGGUGACGGGUAGCCGGCCUGAGAGGGUGAACGGCAACAUAGGGACUGGGAUGCGGCCCAGGCUCCUACGGAGGGCAGCAGUGGGGGAUAUUGGACAAUGGGCGAAGGACUGAUGCAGCGACGCCGCGUGGGGGAUGAGGGCUUUCGGGUUGUAGACCUCGUUCGCUAUAGAACGGGUAGGUGGGGAGGAAGCGCCGGCUAACUACGUGCCAGCCGCCGCGGUAAUUC